Molecule: ribosomal RNA, 437 nt
Filed under: uncultured bacterium
Lineage: Bacteria
Description: partial 16S ribosomal RNA
Rfam family: Bacterial small subunit ribosomal RNA
Source: RNAcentral
AGCGAACGCUGGCGGCAGGCUUAACACAUGCAAGUCGAGCGGGCAUCCUUGUGGUGUCCGCGGCAGACGGGUGAGUAACGCGUGGGAACGUGCCCUUCGGUUCGGAAUAACUCAGGGAAACUUGAGCUAAUACCGGAUACGUGCGAGAGCAGAAAGGUUUAUCUGCCGAAGGAUCGGCCCGCGUCUGAUUAGCUAGUUGGUGAGGUUAUGGCUCACCACGGCGACGAUCAGUAGCUGGUCUGAGAGGAUGAUCAGCCACACUGGGACUGAGACACGGCCCAGACUCCUACGGGAGGCAGCAGUGGGGAAUAUUGGACAAUGGGGGCAACCCUGAUCCAGCCAUGCCGCGUGAGUGAUGACGGCCUUAGGGUUGUAAAGCUCUUUUCUCCGGGACGAUAAUGACGGUACCGGAGGAAUAAGCCCCGGCUAACUUCGUG